GGCUGGGAUUGCGAUACGGGGUGAGACAGUCACAUGGGCUCCGGGAGAGAGGGGGUCUGAACGCCCGAGUUGGAGUAUCUAUGCAGACCUUCCUGAUAACAAAUAACUAGGAGGAUAAGGGGUUCCUCCUGACCUGAGGCAGAAAGACGGGAGGAACUGUCUGCUUUGCGAGGUCAGCCAAAAUCUCCCCGCCACCGGGCCCCUAGGGAAUUCUUGGAGGUGGAAAGGAAUCAGGCUUCCCCCAUCAGACCAGGAGCUUCCUGAAGGCUUGAAAUACAUCUCUUCCCCUCUUCUGUAUCCUCUUUAUGGUGCCCAGGAAAGGGUUCUUUUUGCAAGUGGGGAAGGGAGAAGAAAUACUUUCCUCUUGAUAAAAUCAAUGUUCAGAGGUGGUCUGGGUUGCUCAGAGUUAGAAGAGGACCUGGAUGCCAGAAGAUUCCUCCCAAGAAUUUCCUGAGACCUGGAGAAAAUUCUCAUUCCUAGAAUGACUCAAGAGGCAGAGGAAUUAUCCUGAGAUCACCUGGAGACCUGCAGGCAACAGGAGAAGGGAAAAGAAGAUUAAUCUGAUAAGACCAUGUCUACUCAAGUAAAGAGACCUGGCAUGUACAUAGCUAUCUUGGUGGCCCUUCUCCUUGCCAAGGCCAAUCUCUCUACAUGUGCCCUUGAUCUCAUCACCUCCUUUUUCUCCAGAAGAUUUCAUCCUCAAUCAACUCCCUCCCCUUGAGUCUUCAGCCUCUAUUAACUGAUUAAUUUCCUACUGACUUUAAAACAUGCCCAAUCUCCCCAUCCUUAAAAAGCUUCACUAGCUAGAGAGGAUGUGGGAAAACUGGGCACUAAUGCAUU
Long non-coding RNA from Vombatus ursinus (common wombat), 840 nucleotides. RefSeq lists it as uncharacterized. Lineage: Eukaryota; Metazoa; Chordata; Mammalia; Diprotodontia; Vombatidae. The record is from RefSeq and is a predicted model, not a curated record. The transcript is spliced from 4 exons.